UAUAUUUUAGUGUUAUUAUGCACUUUAAUUUUUGAUAUUAAAAGUUUUAAGUAAUUAACUUAAUAAAUAUAA
RNAcentral lists this transfer RNA (72 nucleotides) under Hypselosoma matsumurae. RNAcentral's name for it is "tRNA-Gln". Lineage: Eukaryota; Metazoa; Arthropoda; Insecta; Hemiptera; Schizopteridae. The record is from RNAcentral.